This 369-nucleotide ribosomal RNA is filed under the name Dysdera exigua. RNAcentral's name for it is "partial large subunit ribosomal RNA". It matches the Rfam family "Bacterial large subunit ribosomal RNA", at positions 1940 to 2600 of the family's 2925-position model. The record is from RNAcentral. Lineage: Eukaryota; Metazoa; Arthropoda; Arachnida; Araneae; Dysderidae.
UUUACACUGUGCUAAGGUAGCAUAAUCACUUGUCUUUUAAUUAAAGAAUAGAAUGAACGGAAACCCGAAUUUUAGCCUGUUUCAUUUUUAUAUAAUAAAAUUACCAAAAAGUAAAAACUCUUUUUUUUAAAAAAAAGACGAUAAGACCCUACAGAACUUCACUAUAGUUUAGCUGGGGCGGCUUUUUAAAAAAAUCUUAUUUUAAAUUCUUAGAAACCUAAUUUUAUAUAAAGUUACCUUAGGGAUAACAGCAUAAUAUAAUUUUAUAGCUCAAAUAAAAAAUUAUGAUUAUGACCUCGAUGUUGAAUUAAAUCUCUUCUAAACGAAAAAAAUUAGUAAGAAAGUCUGUUCGACUUAUAAAAAUUUACA